RNAcentral lists this ribosomal RNA (719 nucleotides) under Sphaeropezia lyckselensis. RNAcentral's name for it is "LSU rRNA". It matches the Rfam family "Eukaryotic large subunit ribosomal RNA", at positions 162 to 902 of the family's 3401-position model. Lineage: Eukaryota; Fungi; Ascomycota; Lecanoromycetes; Ostropales; Odontotremataceae. The record is from RNAcentral.
GUUCGGGUGCGUCUCCGGUCUAAGUUCUUGGAACAGGGCGUCAUAGAGGGUGAGAAUCCCGUACGUGACCGGCUGACAACCCCAUGUGAAACUCCUUCGACGAGUCGAGUUGUUUGGGAAUGCAGCUCAAAUGGGUGGUAUAUUUCAUCUAAAGCUAAAUAUUGGCCAGAGACCGAUAGCGCACAAGUAGAGUGAUCGAAAGAUGAAAAGCACUUUGGAAAGAGAGUCAAAAAGUACGUGAAAUUGUUGAAAGGGAAGCGCUUGCAACCAGACUUGCCCGGGGGUGAUCAACCGUCCUUUUGGGCGGUGCACUCUCCCCCGGUCAGGCCAGCAUCGAUUCGGGCGGUAGGACAAAGGUUCCGGGAACGUGGCCCACUUCGGUGGGUGUUAUAGCCCGGGGCGUNAUGCUACCAGCCUGGAUCGAGGACCGCGCUUCGGCUAGGAUGCUGGCGUAAUGGUUGCUAGCGACCCGUCUUGAAACACGGACCAAGGAGUCGACCAACUCUGCGAGUGUUUGGGUGUUAAACCCGUGCGCGUAAUGAAAGUGAACGGAGGUAAGAACCCGCAAGGGCGCAUUAUCGACCGAUCCUGAUGUCUUCGGAUGGAUUUGAGUAAGAGCAAAGUUGGUCGGACCCGAAAGAUGGUGAACUAUGCGUGAAUAGGUGAAGCCUGAGGAAACUCUGGUGGAGGCUCGCAGCGGUUCUGACGUGCAAAUCGAU